This 383-nucleotide ribosomal RNA is filed under the name Enterobacter cancerogenus. RNAcentral's name for it is "bacterial SSU rRNA". It matches the Rfam family "Bacterial small subunit ribosomal RNA", at positions 958 to 1341 of the family's 1533-position model. The record is from RNAcentral. Lineage: Bacteria; Pseudomonadati; Pseudomonadota; Gammaproteobacteria; Enterobacterales; Enterobacteriaceae.
AACGAGAAGAACCUUACCUACUCUUGACAUCCAGAGAACUUAGCAGAGAUGCUUUGGUGCCUUCGGGAACUCUGAGACAGGUGCUGCAUGGCUGUCGUCAGCUCGUGUUGUGAAAUGUUGGGUUAAGUCCCGCAACGAGCGCAACCCUUAUCCUUUGUUGCCAGCGGUCMGGCCGGGAACUCAAAGGAGACUGCCAGUGAUAAACUGGAGGAAGGUGGGGAUGACGUCAAGUCAUCAUGGCCCUUACGAGUAGGGCUACACACGUGCUACAAUGGCGCAUACAAAGAGAAGCGACCUCGCGAGAGCAAGCGGACCUCAUAAAGUGCGUCGUAGUCCGGAUUGGAGUCUGCAACUCGACUCCAUGAAGUCGGAAUCGCUAGUAA